Molecule: non-coding RNA, 42 nt
Filed under: Schistosoma curassoni
Lineage: Eukaryota; Metazoa; Platyhelminthes; Trematoda; Strigeidida; Schistosomatidae
Source: RNAcentral
CAGCUGACGAGUCCCAAACAGAACGAAACGCGCGUCCUGGAU